RNAcentral lists this long non-coding RNA (274 nucleotides) under Ananas comosus (pineapple). Its description in RNAcentral is "long non-coding RNA (ACOM_LNC023908)". The record is from RNAcentral. Lineage: Eukaryota; Viridiplantae; Streptophyta; Magnoliopsida; Poales; Bromeliaceae.
UUUUUAAUAAAUGAGCCGAAUACGAGCCGGCUUGUUAAAGUAUCGAGCCGAAAAAUACAACUCGUAUUCGGCUCGUUAAUAAACGAGUAGAACACGAGCUAGCUCACGAGCUGAUCAACGAACAAUAAGUUAAAAAUUCAGCUCAUGUUCGGCUCGUUUACUAAAUGAGCGAUUCGAUCUUGAGCUCAUUUCGAGUCGAACACGAGCUUACUCGCGAACAACGAGCUGGAUUGCCACCCCUACUUGCAACCGUGCACUUCACAAUGACAUCAUA